Molecule: ribosomal RNA, 468 nt
Filed under: uncultured bacterium
Lineage: Bacteria
Description: partial 16S ribosomal RNA
Rfam family: Bacterial small subunit ribosomal RNA
Source: RNAcentral
GACGAACGCUGGCGGCGUGCUUAACACAUGCAAGUCGAACGGAAAGGCCAGGCUUUUGUGGCGUGCUCGAGUGGCGAACGGGUGAGUAACACGUGAGUAAACUGCCCUUGACUGUGGGAUAACUUCAGGAAACUCGGGAUCAUACAGGGUAGGAGAUCCUGCUGCAUGGUGGUGGAUGGAAAGUGUCGGCGGUGGGGGAUGGACUAGCGGCUUAUCAGCUUGAUGGUCGGGUAGGUGAUUACCAAGGGUUUGACGGGUAGCCGGCCUGAGAGGGUGACCGGCGACAAUGGGCCUGAGAUACGGCGCAGAAGCCUACGGGAGGCAGCAGGCGGGAAUAUUACACAAUGGGCGGACGCCUGAGGCAGCAACGCCGCGUGCGGGAUGCCGUCUUUCUGGUGGUAAACCGCUGUGGCCGGUGAUGAAGCGUGCGUGACGGUAAUUGGUAAAGAAGCACCGGCUAACUACGUG